Molecule: long non-coding RNA, 343 nt
Filed under: Bos taurus (domestic cattle)
Lineage: Eukaryota; Metazoa; Chordata; Mammalia; Artiodactyla; Bovidae
Description: long non-coding RNA NONBTAT024959
Source: RNAcentral
CUUUACAGCCCAAGAAAUCCAGAGAAGUUCCUUAUGUUUUCAUUGUUGAUCAGAAUCAGAUUUUUAUGCUCAAUUAAAAUACUUUAUUAUUUAUCUAAUGUGGUUCAUUUGGAAGUUAAUAAUUUCAGGAAAUAGUUAUUAAGACUCAGAAAAAGAUCACUGGAUUAUAUGUAGAUGCAUAUUGCUUCCAUUAAUAUUAAAAGCAAUUAGGUAGAUCCCUCCCUGACAUUGAGAUGAGAAUGGGCUCCUAAAUAAAACAGUAAAACAGAUUUGAUUAAUUUACAUUUAGCCGUAGUUAUUGUUACUGAUUUACUCCAAUAAGUUUCUGAAAGAUUCAGAUUUG